This 253-nucleotide ribosomal RNA is filed under the name uncultured bacterium. Its description in RNAcentral is "partial 16S ribosomal RNA". It matches the Rfam family "Bacterial small subunit ribosomal RNA", at positions 524 to 776 of the family's 1533-position model. The record is from RNAcentral.
UACGUAGGGUCCGAGCGUUGUCCGGAAUUAUUGGGCGUAAAGAGCUCGUAGGCGGCUUGUCACGUCGGGUGUGAAAGCUCGGGGCUUAACCCCGGGUCUGCAUUCGAUACGGGCUGGCUGGAGUGUGGUAGGGGAGAUCGGAAUUCCUGGUGUAGCGGUGAAAUGCGCAGAUAUCAGGAGGAACACCGGUGGCGAGGGCGGAUCUCUGGGCCAUUACUGACGCUGAGGAGCGAAAGCGUGGGGAGCGAACAGG